AUUGAACGCUGGCGGCAUGCCUUACACAUGCAAGUCGAACGGCAGCACGGACUUCGGUCUGGUGGCGAGUGGCGAACGGUUGAGUAAUGUAUCGGAACGUACCUUUCAGUGGGGGAUAACGUAGCGAAAGUUACGCUAAUACCGCAUAUUCUGUGAGCAGGAAAGCAGGGGAUCGAAAGACCUUGCGCUGAUUGAGCGGCCGAUAUCAGAUUAGCUAGUUGGUGGGGUAAAGGCCUACCAAGGCGACGAUCUGUAGCGGGUCUGAGAGGAUGAUCCGCCACACUGGAACUGAGAAACGGUCCAGACUCCUACGGGAGGCAGCAGUGGGGAAUUUUGGACAAAGGGGGCAACCCUGAUCCAGCCAUGCCGCGUGAGUGAAGAAGGCCUUCUGGUUGUAAAGCUCUUUAGGCCGGGAAGAAAUAGAAUAGGCUAAUACCCUGUGUGGAUGACGGUACCGGAAGAAGAAGCACCGGCUAACUACGUG
RNAcentral lists this ribosomal RNA (484 nucleotides) under uncultured bacterium. RNAcentral describes it as "partial 16S ribosomal RNA". It matches the Rfam family "Bacterial small subunit ribosomal RNA", at positions 30 to 507 of the family's 1533-position model. The record is from RNAcentral.